UUUUAAGUGUUAAUUUAUUUUCUUAGGUAGUAUUAGUUAUGUUCUUGAAACCUAAAGAAUUUGGCGGUACCUUAUUCCGAUCAGAGGAAUCUGCCCUGUUAUCGAUAAUCCGCGUUGUACCUUACUUAGUUGUUUAUUGUUUGUAUACCGCCGUAUAUUGAUUAUCAUUUUAGUGUUUAAAUUUUCUUGAUUCAUGAUUUUGUUUCAUUUCAGGUCAAGGUGCAGCUUGUGUCUAAGUGUGAGGUGGAUUACAUUAAUUAUUUUGUUUGUUGGAUUAUUUGUUGUUAGAUUUUUAUGAAAUUGGAUUUGAUUGUAAUGUUUAGAUGAAGAUUGUUCUCAUGAUAUUUGGUUCUAAGGUAUGU
Molecule: ribosomal RNA, 362 nt
Filed under: Schedorhinotermes sp. IS65
Lineage: Eukaryota; Metazoa; Arthropoda; Insecta; Blattodea; Rhinotermitidae
Description: partial 12S ribosomal RNA
Source: RNAcentral